Long non-coding RNA from Lagopus leucura (white-tailed ptarmigan), 879 nucleotides. RefSeq lists it as uncharacterized. The record is from RefSeq and is a predicted model, not a curated record. The transcript is spliced from 12 exons. Lineage: Eukaryota; Metazoa; Chordata; Aves; Galliformes; Phasianidae.
GCGUCCUGCCUUUCCGCUCGUGGCACGGGAACAGUGUAGGAUGAACCGGUUACACUCUUCUCUCUCCUGCGGCUUCAAAAUAGUGACAGCUGGAGAUGCUCCCUAGUUCUGCAGGCGUUUGAUGAUGUCCUGUCUGACUUUCAGGCCUGCUGCUGAAUAUGAAGACUUGAUGCUACUUCACAAGGAUUUGAAUAAUGCACUCAUGGAAGAAACAUCACCUGGCACUGGGAAAAGCCACGAGAUGAAUGUGCAAGUCUGCCCAGCCUGGAGAUGGAAGAGUGCCUGUGCCCAGCAGAGCUGAUUUACCUUUUCUGAUGUUGGUGAACAUGCUGCUGUUAUAACUGAAGGCUUUGAAAGUGCUUCUCAUCAAGACUACUGUUGUGGAACUGUGAAGUGGUGCAGUUGGUUGUGCUGCAGGCAGAAAUGUGAGAACGGAAGAACUGCCCAAGAUUUUGUGCCAGAUACUUGGUUGAGUGAAGCUGAAGGGGAGCAUGUGAGAAAUAACACCAACUUUGAGGAAAGGACUGCUCUGCCACCUCACUGCGUAAGAUAACACAGAUUAAUUCUCUCUUCUGGGAGUGUUGGUAACCACUGAUGAAACUUGAUUCUGCCAGAUGAAUUUCUGUGAUAUUACCAUUUCCGUUCCAUUCUUUCUGAGGUUACACAGCUGCUGAGAGGAUCUCUUGGCAGGUGUGUCACUGCAUGCUAAGUGUGUUUUCCUGCUUUAGGUGAGGAUGCAACUUUGGAACUGUAUGAGCAAACAGGUGGAAGAUCCCAGGAUAAUGGAUUGCACUUACAUGAGCGGCAUUCAAACAAGACUUUGUGAUGUUAACAUCGCCUCAUACACUGACUGGAGCCAAUAAAAUCUCAUAAACUCUA